Molecule: long non-coding RNA, 749 nt
Filed under: Prunus persica (peach)
Lineage: Eukaryota; Viridiplantae; Streptophyta; Magnoliopsida; Rosales; Rosaceae
Description: long non-coding RNA (PPER_LNC006050)
Source: RNAcentral
UUGAUGUCUUGGGCAGAGAAAUAGAAUGGCUCUUUUUCAUUUUUUCUAUGAAACCUGUCUUACUUUUUGUUUGAGGUCCAUGCCUAUUCUCUCACUUUCUCUGAUCCCAUGCCUAUUUGAAUUAAAAUAUUGUAAUUAAAAAGCAAGUUGGGUGGGCAUUCAUGAUGUUGAUGUCUUCGGCAGAGAGAAGAGAACGGCUUUUUAAAUUUUUUUUAAUGAAAUCUUUCAUAUUUUUUGACGUCUCUUGUUUAUCCCUCUCAUUUCUCUGAUUUCUUCUUUCUCUCUCAUUCUUUCUUUCCUCUCUUCUUUGUCACCAGUUCUUUCUUUCUCUCUUUUCUCUGAUUUCUUUCUUUUCUCUAGUCUCAUCCCAUUUAUUCUUUCUUUCCUCUCUUCUUUCUCAUUGAUUAUUUCUUCAUCUCUUUCUCUUAUUAUUAUUAUUUUUUAUUUCUCACCAGGUCUUUAUUUCUUCUUCUCUUCUUCUCCUCUUUGUCUGAUUUCUCUUUUUGUUUCUUACUUUCCUUUGGUGCAUCAAUUGGAUAUGUUUUGCUGGAUAGUUUUUUUUUGUUUUUUUGGUAUGUAUCUUUUAAGGUUCAGAUAUGGUUUUUCUUGUAUGAAUUCGGCGAUUUGCUCCAUUGCUUUGUGUAAAAAUAUCAGUUAGGCUAAGAGCCAGUCCAAAGCGUGAAAAACCAAAACCGAACCGGACCUAAACCGGCCCAGGUUGGUCUGGUUUUCUUUGGCAUUUUAGUUAA